RNAcentral lists this ribosomal RNA (329 nucleotides) under uncultured eukaryote. RNAcentral describes it as "partial 18S ribosomal RNA". It matches the Rfam family "Eukaryotic small subunit ribosomal RNA", at positions 1470 to 1796 of the family's 1831-position model. The record is from RNAcentral.
CCCUUAGAUGUUCUGGGCCGCACGCGCGCUACACUGAUGCAUUCAACGAGUCUAAAACCUGCUCUGAUAGGGGUGGGUAAUCUUUUGAAUGUGCAUCGUGAUUGGGAUAGAUGAUUGCAAUUUUUCAUCUUCAACGAGGAAUGCCUAGUAAACGCAAGUCAUCAGCUUGCAUUGAUUACGUCCCUGCCCUUUGUACACACCGCCCGUCGCUCCUACCGAUUGAAUGAUCCGAUGAAUAUCCUGGAUUGAGGAUUAUAGCAGGUUCGCCUGUCUUGAUCUUCGAGAAGUGAAGUAAAUCUUAUCAUUUAGAGGAAGGAGAAGUCGUAACA